GGAGAGGUGGGUGAGCGGCUGAAACCGACGGUUUGCUAAACCGUUCUACGGCGUAAAGCUGUAGCGAGGGUUCGAAUCCCUCCCUCUCCG
This 90-nucleotide transfer RNA is filed under the name Elusimicrobia bacterium CG11_big_fil_rev_8_21_14_0_20_64_6. RNAcentral's name for it is "tRNA-Ser". It matches the Rfam family "tRNA". From Rfam's summary of the family: Transfer RNA (tRNA) molecules are approximately 80 nucleotides in length. Lineage: Bacteria; Pseudomonadati; Elusimicrobiota. The record is from RNAcentral.